This 220-nucleotide ribosomal RNA is filed under the name uncultured bacterium. RNAcentral describes it as "partial 16S ribosomal RNA". It matches the Rfam family "Bacterial small subunit ribosomal RNA", at positions 1283 to 1500 of the family's 1533-position model. The record is from RNAcentral.
UUGUCUCAGUUCGGAUUGUAGGCCGAAACUCGCCUACAUGAAGCUGGAGUUGCUAGUAAUCGCGAAUCAGCAUGUCGCGGUGAAUACGUUCCCGGGCCUUGUACACACCGCCCGUCACACCAUGAGAGUUGGCAAUACCCAACGUACGUGAUCUAACCCGCAAGGGAGGAAGCGUCCUAAGGUAGGGUCAGCGAUUGGGGUGAAGUCGUAACAAGGUAUC